Molecule: long non-coding RNA, 394 nt
Filed under: Cavia porcellus (domestic guinea pig)
Lineage: Eukaryota; Metazoa; Chordata; Mammalia; Rodentia; Caviidae
Description: lncRNA (ENSCPOG00000036333.1)
Source: RNAcentral
CAGACUUCAGGGAAACUUGGUCUGAAUUCUGGAUAGCUCAAAAUAAAAAAAUUCUAUGACCUUGAACAAAUCAUACCAUGUGUGAGCUCAAAUGAAAAUGUAAUUUUAAUGCAACAUAGGUCCUGGGUUAGAGCUUGCCCAUACAGACAUCCGGAAGAAGUGGUCCCAAACUCCUUCCCAAAGGAACUACUGCACAGCUAUGGAAGAUGCGAGUAUCAUCUCUGCCUGGAAUACAACUAUUUUAAGUUCCCGACAAAAAGAGACAGCAUAGCACCAAAGGCUUUCAAGGCCUUCUACGUGUCAGUGUAUCCUGAAAGAAAAACUUUCCACAGAGAACUGCCAGGGAGAGAGAUACAUGGUAUCUUAUCACUGACAGCCAAGACCAGAAUGAGAG